CCUACGGGUGGCAGCAGUGAGGAAUAUUGGUCAAUGGGCGCGAGCCUGAACCAGCCAAGUCGCGUGAGGGAAGACGGCCCUACGGGUUGUAAACCUCUUUUGCCGGGGAGCAACGGGCGCCACGUGUGGCGCCACUGAGAGUACCCGGAGAAUAAGCCACGGCUAACUACGUGCCAGCAGCCGCGGUAAUACGUAGGUGGCAAGCGUUGUCCGGAUUUACUGGGUGUAAAGGGCGUGCAGCCGGGAAGACAAGUCAGAUGUGAAAUCCCGCGGCUCAACCGCGGAACUGCAUUUGAAACUGUUUUUCUUGAGUACCGGAGAGGUCAUCGGAAUUCCUUGUGUAGCGGUGAAAUGCGUAGAUAUAAGGAAGAACACCAGUGGCGAAGGCGGAUGACUGGACGGCAACUGACGGUGAGGCGCGAAAGCGUGGGGAGCAAACAGGAUUAGAUACCCCUGUAGUC
Molecule: ribosomal RNA, 461 nt
Filed under: uncultured bacterium
Lineage: Bacteria
Description: partial 16S ribosomal RNA
Rfam family: Bacterial small subunit ribosomal RNA
Source: RNAcentral